GGGACGACUGGAGCCACUGCUCUGCUCAGCUCACAGGGAAACUGAGGCAAAGCAGAGGAGAAGCGGGGUGCUUGGGGUCCACUCCAGGACAUACAGGUCGCAGCUGUUUCCCCAAAUGCUGGGCCCUGUGGCCUCCCCUUUGGCUGUGGUGCAGCUUCACAAGCUUCCACUAAAACAGGUACAUCCCGACACGUGUGGUGGCGCACACCUGUAAUCGCAGCACUCAGGGAGGCUGAGGCAGGAGGAUCGCUG
This is a long non-coding RNA of Fukomys damarensis (Damara mole-rat), 252 nucleotides long. RefSeq lists it as uncharacterized. Lineage: Eukaryota; Metazoa; Chordata; Mammalia; Rodentia; Bathyergidae. The record is from RefSeq and is a predicted model, not a curated record. The transcript has 3 exons.